RNAcentral lists this non-coding RNA (148 nucleotides) under Nomascus leucogenys (northern white-cheeked gibbon). Lineage: Eukaryota; Metazoa; Chordata; Mammalia; Primates; Hylobatidae. The record is from Rfam by way of RNAcentral.
GCUGGGCAUGGUGGCACAUGCCUGUAGUCCCAGCUACUCAGGAGGCUGAGGCAGGAGAAUCGCUUGAGCCUGGGAGGCGGAGGUUGCAGUGAGCCGAGAUCGUGCCGCUGCAAUCCAGCCUGGGUGAUAGAGUGAGACCCUGUCUCAA